CCUACGGGGGGCAGCAGUGAGGAAUAUUGGUCAAUGGGCGCGAGCCUGAACCAGCCAAGUCGCGUGAGGGAGGACGGCCCUACGGGUUGUAAACCUCUUUUGCCGGGGAGCAACGGGCGUCACGUGUGGCGCCACUGCGAGUACCCGGAGAAAAAGCAUCGGCUAACUCCGUGCCAGCAGCCGCGGUAAGACGGGGGAUGCGAGCGUUAUCCGGAUUUAAUGGGUUUAAAGGGUGCGUAGGCGGAUCGUUAAGUCAGUGGUCAAAUUGAGGGGCUCAACCCCUGCCCGCCAUUGAAACUGGCGAUCUUGAGUGGAAGAGAGGUAUGCGGAAUGCGUGGUGUAGCGGUGAAAUGCGUAGAUAUCACGAAGAACCCCGAUUGCGAAGGCAGCAUGCCGGCUUCCGACUGACGCUGAGGCACGAAAGCGUGGGGAUCGAACAGGAUUAGAUACCCGAGUAGUC
This 460-nucleotide ribosomal RNA is filed under the name uncultured bacterium. Its description in RNAcentral is "partial 16S ribosomal RNA". It matches the Rfam family "Bacterial small subunit ribosomal RNA", at positions 338 to 795 of the family's 1533-position model. The record is from RNAcentral.